UUGGAGGGCAAGUCUGGUGCCAGCAGCCGCGGUAAUUCCAGCUCCAAUAGCGUAUAUUAAAGUUGUUGCAGUUAAAAAGCUCGUAGUUGAAUUUCGGGGUUCUACCGUUGGUCGGGCUUUGUCUGUACUGGUGUGUAGAAUUUCUACCUUCUGGGGAACCAUCAUGCUAUUAAUUUAGCGUGGUGGGAAACCAGGACCUUUACCUUGAAAAAAUUAGUGUGUUCAAAGCAGGCUUAUGUCUGAAUACAUUAGCGUGGAAUAAUAGAAUAGGACGGUGGUCCUGUUUUGUUGAUUUCUGAAUCACCGUAAUGAUUAAUAGGGAUAGUUGGGGGCAUUAGUAUUCAAUUGUCAGAGGUGAAAUUCUUGGAUUUAUUGAAGACUAACUUCUGCGAAAGCAUUUGCCAAGGAUGUUUUCAUUAAUCAAGAACGAAAGUUAGGGGAUCGAAGACGAUCAGAUACCGUCGUAGUCUUAACCAUAAACUAUGCCGACUAGGGAUCGGACGAUGUUAAUUUUUCUUGACUCGUUCGGCGCCUUACGGGAAAC
This 544-nucleotide ribosomal RNA is filed under the name uncultured Glomeromycotina. RNAcentral's name for it is "SSU rRNA". It matches the Rfam family "Eukaryotic small subunit ribosomal RNA", at positions 548 to 1098 of the family's 1831-position model. Lineage: Eukaryota; Fungi; Glomeromycota. The record is from RNAcentral.